Molecule: ribosomal RNA, 445 nt
Filed under: uncultured bacterium
Lineage: Bacteria
Description: partial 16S ribosomal RNA
Rfam family: Bacterial small subunit ribosomal RNA
Source: RNAcentral
GUAGGGAAUAUUGGGCAAUGGAUGCAAGUCUGACCCAGCCAUCCCGCGUGCCGGAAGAAGGCCCUCAGGGUUGUAAACGGCUUUUGACGGUGAAGAACCGACAGGAUGAGUCCUGUUUUGACGGUAGCCGUUGAAUAAGCACCGGCUAACUCCGUGUCAGCAGCCGCGGUAAUACGGAGGGUGCGAGCGUUGUCCGGAUUUAUUGGGUUUAAAGGGUGCUUAGGCUGGAAGGUCGGUCAGCGGUGAAAAGCUAUCGCUUAACGAUAGUCUUGCCGCAGAUACUUCCUUUCAUGGAUGAUGAGUAGGCCACUGGAACGGAUGGUGUAGCGGUGAAAUGCAUAGAUAUCAUCCAGGACACCGAUUGCGAAGGCAGGUGGCUGUACCUUAGUCGACGCUGAUGCACGAAAGCAUGGGGAGCAAACAGGAAUAGAUACCCUUGUAGUCC